Molecule: small RNA, 2155 nt
Filed under: Pongo abelii (Sumatran orangutan)
Lineage: Eukaryota; Metazoa; Chordata; Mammalia; Primates; Hominidae
Description: retained intron
Source: RNAcentral
UGUUUCAGGGAAAUUCUCCAGCAUUAGAGAUCAAGUUAUUGAUCUUUCUGCUGCAUUGCAGGUGGGGAUCAAUAUCUUCAGAAUUGGCCAGGCAAAAUAUAUUUGCUUAUCAUUCAGCUGCUACAGAUAACUGCAGGUGCUGGGAUGAGGGUACUUGGUGAAUCCUAUAGGUGAGCAGGGGUGUGAGAUCGUGCUCUGAGCACUGUGUGUGCGGCCUCCUGGUUGUGUGGCAUGUGGUGAGUGUGCAGUAAACAAUGAAUGGGUGAAGUUAUUAAGUCAUCAAAUAUGUGUGCCAGUGUGUCUGUUAUUAUAGAUUCUUUUGGCUCUAACAAAGUGGCUUAAACAACAGGCACAUUUGAUAUUAUUUUCUUCUCAUAACAGGUGCAAUGGGCAGGUCCAGGGUUGGUUGAGCACCAGGGCAGUGUUGAGACUGGUCCAACUUCUCUGGGCCUUCUCUUUUUGCUUGUCAGAGAGCGACCUCGGCUGCAAGUAUUAUGUUCUUACACGGACGCCCAAGAGCAGAAAGGAAAAAGGGCAGGGAUGUUCUCAGAGGCUCCCAGUAGGCCUCACUUGUGUCUCAGUGCCUACACUUGGGCAUACACUUAUGCUUCCCUUGCCAGCAAGGCUGGGAAAGGAGUCAUUAGCAUUUUUACCCUGUAUCAGGGCAGGUGGGUUUCACUGGCAAGGAGGAAGAGGAAGGGGACUGGCCACUAGGUCAACACCCACAGUGGGGCUGGGGAUACAGGGAUGAAAGAGAGAUGAGGCCCCUGCCUUCGGGGAGUGUCUAGUGACAGUGACAGAGGGAUGAGAGAAGUAUGAGAUGUUGCUCACCCUCAAGAAGAUUGUAACCUAGGGACCUUAAGCAUAUAUGUAUGUAUCUAUCCCGAGCCAGGAGAAAGGUGGGGCCAAAGCUCUGUAUGAAGGCCAGGGGGAUGAGGGAUCCUUUGCAGCUGGGAGCUCUGCGCAGGAGGAGAGGGAGCGUUUGAGCUAGGAAGAGAGGUGAUUUCACAGGCAGAAAGCAUAGGGAGAUGGAGUGGCUGCGGGGGCUUCAGGAGGCUGUUGGGGAGCCCAGGCAGGAGGUGGCAAGUGAGCGUGCAAUUCUCAGAGAGUGGCUGGGUAAGGCGUGGGGAUCCAGCAGGUCUGGGGCAGCUGCUGCUGAGUCUGGGCUGUUUCCAGUGCUAGUUGGUUGAGCAUUUGCAAAUUUUAAUCUUUCCCUGGGUAUUGGAUGGUGUUCUGGCAAGUUCUCUAGGAGCUCCAGGGGUGUUUAGACCCUGGAAGUGUAAGAACUGACUGUGAUUUUUUUUUCCUCUUGUUUGAAAAAGUCCUAAGUGUACGGGAAGUGGCUAUGGAGACCUCUCACUCUGUCCCUCCCAUCUGCUUGUGCUCUGCAGGUAUGGAUUUAACAGUCACGGGCUUUCAGUGGUGGAACACAGGUUACGGGCCAGACAGCAGAAGCAGGCCAAGCUCACGGAAGUUGGGCAUCGAUGGGCUGAUUGUUACGAACACCACUGUGAGUCGUCCUGCUGGCCUCCAGGGUGCCCUGCGCUCUGAAACAGGAGGGCUGAGUGGGAAGCCCCUCCGGGAUUUAUCAACUGAAACCAUUCGGGAGAUGUAUGCACUCACCCAAGGCAAGUUCCCAUAAUUGGGGUUGGUGGUGUGAGCAGCGGGCAGGAUGCGCUGGAGAAGAUCCGGGCAGGGGCCUCCCUGGUGCAGCUGUACACGGCCCUCACCUUCUGGGGGCCACCCGUUGUGGGCAAAGUCAAGCGGGAACUGGAGGCCCUUCUGAAAGAGCAGGGCUUUUGCAGAGUCACAGAUGCCAUUGGAGCAGAUCAUCGGAGGUGAGGACAGCGUCUGUCGGGAAGCCUGAUCUGGAACCUUCCCAAGGACUCAGGCAAGCCUUUGUGGCUGGAUCAUGAGAGGAGGGACUCCAUCUUGAGCCAUGUCCCCCAGCCAUGGCAUGGCUGCACUCUAAACGCCAAUCGGGGGGUCACCAGGAUCAACCGCAGGCUUUCUUCAGUCCCUUGGCCAGACCAUAAACUGCAUUUGUGAUUCUUUGUGGAUUCAAACCCUAGGAUCCAUCAGUCUUGCAAGGACAUUGAAUAUUAGGAGGAAAAAGUCAUGGAAAAGAUAAAGCCAUUUAGAACCUGGGUUUCAA